UGAUAUGAUGCCUAAAAUGAUAUCGGAUGAUUCCAUUGUGUUUUAUCAGUGUUGUCUAAAAUUUGAGCAAUUCUAUUUAAUACUUAAGACCUGAGUGGCUGAGUGCUGUUUAUCUAAGCGAUGGCGACAGUUGAAUCAGACCAUAAUACAAAAUCACGUUGAUGUAAGCUUAUAUUCAAUUUUUUCAUUUCAGAGAUGACUUCUAUGGUUAAUUCACUGAGUAGUACAGCACCACAGAGUUCUAACCGGGGUAUAGUGGUCGCAUGAAGUGGCGCUACUAUUGAUUUUGAAACAUAUAAUUUCGAACUUUCCAUUUGAACUGUGUUCGUGUGUAAUCACACGCUCCGUGAUCCAGGAUUUUGUCAAAUACCUAUGUAUGGGAGGUAUGUGUUAAUUUACAUAUAAAGAUGUGCAUUAGUUUAAAAGAAAUAGACUUACCAUCAGCAGAGCAGGAAAAUUAGUUUAUGUUAAACACAAUUUAAAGGAAGAAUAAGAAAAACAAGUAAAUCCACCACUUGCCCAGCAAGAUUAUUAAGAAAAACUUUUAGAAGAAUUUGAAGAAGACAGUAAUAAUGAGCUACAACUAGAAGAAAUUGAAUGUGAAGACAAUACUAAAGAGAGUGACUGUAGUGUUAUAAGUGUUAACUUGGAAAAUGAAGAAGAACAGAACUCAGACAUUGAUAUAAAUAGUACUGAAAUAGAUGAACUAGUGAAUAUGAUAAAUUCAUAAAAUAAUAUUAUGAUAACAAUUAUAUUAUGUUUAUGGUUUUUAUUUAUAAAAA
Molecule: long non-coding RNA, 782 nt
Organism: Aphis gossypii (cotton aphid)
Lineage: Eukaryota; Metazoa; Arthropoda; Insecta; Hemiptera; Aphididae
Exons: 2
Source: RefSeq, a predicted model, not a curated record